CAAAUAACAUCGAGAUUAACAAAUUGUUCACGUAAUCGUCGCAGUUAUUAAGUUCGAGUUAACUUCAGUGUCUUCGGAUCUGAACCUUCCAUGGUGAUGAUAUUAGAUUGCAUCGGUUUGCAGGAUUUACAGAUGAGAUAUCUGUUUUUUUUUUGAAAACCAUUUAUAAAGUAUCAGUUACCUUUAAAAAUUUGAGUAUUUUUAGUUCAGUGUGUAAUUGGUUUCAAAUUGGAAGAAAUGACAUAUUUACAUAUUUGGUUUACGUCAUUUUCGAUUCUUUUCGUCGAUUGAAACGGCAACGAGGGCGAAACGUAAAAAUUAGAGAAACUCCAUCUUCCGACAAUUUCUCAAACUUUCCAUUUCUCUCAUCUAUCGGACAUCUUAUUCUCUUUCGUAAGAUAUUUCCUAUAGAAAUGAGAAUCUACAAUAUUUACGAGACGAUCUGGAAUCCGCGUGUGAGACGUGCUUUCUUUCGAAGCUGAAUUCAUUAAAUUUCGCGCUGUCGUCGACUGGUGCACAGCAGAUUAAAGAAGGAGAAACUUUCUGUAACACACGUGAAUUAAAUGCUAACAAUGUUAUCGGACGUAAUUCUUUCGAACGUGGAUAAUGUAUCGUAAAAAUUGUUGGCAGUUUUAAAUUUAGUAUUUCAACGGGCUUAUGUAAAUGUUAAGACAAUUCAACAAGCUGGUUCGUGAAAUCCAAGGAUGAUGAUUGUUCGUGAAACAAUGAACGAAAAGAGGAAGUUGGAAGAAUGCCAUUGACGAUAAUUACUUGUACAUUAACUAAUACACGACGAACAGCAAGAAAAAUAGCGCUUCAGACGAUGAUAUCCUGCGCAUGCGUGAAAACUUAUAGUCCCAUGAUGGUAAGAAAAGAAAGUGAAAAAUAGAAGGACGAGAAAGCGAAGAAAAUGGAAAAUGGAAAAAGGAAGAGGGAAGCAAGUGAAAGGAUUAGAAUUACUUAUUAGAUCACGUAUUAGAAAGGAGAAAAGCGUAAAAAAUAAGGAAAAGAAUGAAGAAAAAGGUAAAGAAAAUGAAAAAUAUAAAGGAUACCGGAAAAUUGAAAACAAUAGAAAAGGUAGAGAAAAAUGAAUAAAUUAAAAAGAAACGAUACAUAGAUACAAAUGAAAAAGUAAAGAAAGUCGAUAAAUGGAUCCACGUGAAUCAAACGGCAAACAAAGGCUUAAACGAGAGUCAUCAAAUAGAAGAUAAACGGAAGACAGUCAUCAGAGACAGAUUUUUAAGGCAGUUUUUUACUCGUGACAAAACUCGUGGUAUUAUACAAUAUUCGGAAACGUGUUUGAGAGAUAGCGAUGAAUAUGUAGUUGCUAAAGAGGCAAUGCUUGAUAAAGAUAAACGUGCAAAACACGUGCCAAAAGUACUGAUUCGUUUGAAGAAGAUAAUAAUCGUUUGGUGAUCGUCUGCAGAAUGGCAUUACCAUUUCUUACAGACAAGAAUUAUAAUUACCUCAUAAAAAGAACCAUAUUGUAAACUAGAUAAGAUGCAUAUGAAAUUGACAAAGCAACAAUUCACACCUAGUGACACAAUUGGAAAUUAAUUCUAUUGUUCAUAAAGUAACGUUUAAGAACAAUUACGUAAUCACGUGUAAAUAUUAAUAAUAUAUAACAGUAAUUAGAUCAAUAAUUAUAUCAACGAUAUUAUUCGAUGUAGUAAAUAUAGUAAACUAUACUAUUGUACUAGCUUACUAUAUUAAUAUAGCGAAUAAAAUUUAACUUUUAAAUUUAGCGAACGAUAAUAAAAUGUAAUGAAUUAUAAUGCUUAACUUAACUGCUUAAAUUAUAUGCUAAUGUAUAUAAGAUUGCUUAAUGGUAUUCAGCCACGAUUUGAAUAGAAAAUAUAAGAAUAUUUGUUCUGCUGGCACGAAGACAUCUUUAAUGCAUAAUUGACAAAAAAUAUUGAGAGAUAUUCACCGAGACACUGAACUUAGAAUGCCACAUGCUAACAGAUAACCUUAGGGUAGAUAUAAUACUGUAUAUGUUACUAUAAUCCCAUUGGUAUGAUAAAAAGUAAAUGUAUUAUUUAUCACUUAUUUUAAUAAGAUGCUGACGGCAGAAAGUUGACAGCGAUCGAAAGUAGCUUACGAGGCUCGCAAAGACUUUCUCAAUGUAAUCAUGGAAAUGAUUAAGUUAUGUAAGAAAGUGGCAACAUUCGAAGAUAUAAACUUUUAAUCGGACGAAGCUCGAACGAAUGAGGCAACAGGUCGAACGAUGACACUUCAUAGUAUAUUUCGUUCAACGUGUUUCUGCACUUCUGAUCUAAUAUUAUUAUUUAAUAUCGACGAGAUAUUACUUUGUAACGUUUAAUAUUAAUUAUUUGGUAUCUAACGUUACUUUAUAAUCUAUAUAUAAUUUAUAUUUAUCGUACCGGCGUACGAUAAAUUAUCAAAUCUGUUUUCCUCGCAAGCAAAGCGUCUUGUGAAAAAUUGCUAUUCUAUAUCUUUGGCUUAUUUUCGAUCGACAUAGCGUAAAAGAAGACCGACGAUAUAUCUGUUAAUUUUGUCUCCUAGUGUGUCUCAUUUUUACGGAUAUAGAAAUGAAACCGAUAAAAGGUUGAUUCUAUUAUGUAACGAAUUUUUUGCUCAUUUUUUCUCACUUCAGCGAGUGGCUUGUGCGACAGUAAAAUAUUCAACUAAGGCGAAUGCAUUAUUAAUUUUUUAUAUGAAUGUUCUCGACGAAUAAGAACUCAGUGGCGUGACAUGUAUCUGAUAAUCCGAGAGGCCGAAGAAUUGGCCCACCUCUGCUUAUUCAUGAUCGAGGUCAAUGCUCACUUACGACCAUUCUAUCAAACGAAUUUUCAUCUUUAACUUGAAUUUUAAAUUAUAAAUUAUUGAAUAUUAGCUUAAAAUGUAUAUAUUCGAUGAAAUUUAUAAAAUUAUAUUUUUUUUUAAUACCUUAUAACUGUUUCUUUUCAUAUAUUUCUUUUAACAAGUUUAAAUAAUGCUUAAACAAUACCUAAUAUAUCAUAACUUGUAAUAAAGAAUGUUUAAAAGAUUUCACAACGAAAUCAAUUUACGUGGAAAGACAAUAGGAGUGAUUAAAUAACACAGAGCGUAAUGGUUUAACUAUGAUACCUACGCAAGUAACUUUUCCAAGUAUUCUGUCAUUUAAUAUAAUCGAGUAUAAACGACUGUAAGGGAAAAUCGAAUACUAAAAUGGAAAACUGCCAGUAACUUUUCCAAGUACUCUGCCGUUUAAUAUAAUCGAGUAUAAACGACUGUAAGGGAAAAUCGAAUACUAAAAUGGAAAACUGCCAGUAACUUUUCCAAGUACUCUGCCAUUUAAUAUAAUCGAGUGUAAACGACUGUAAGGGAAAAUCGAAUACUAAAAUGGAAAACUGCCAGUAACUUUGCCAAGUACUCUGCCACUUAAUACAAUCGAGUGUAAACGACUGUAAGGGAAAAUAGAACACUA
Bombus huntii is the source of this 3430-nucleotide long non-coding RNA. RefSeq lists it as uncharacterized. The record is from RefSeq and is a predicted model, not a curated record. NCBI's taxonomy places the organism in Eukaryota, Metazoa, Arthropoda, Insecta, Hymenoptera, Apidae. The transcript is spliced from 3 exons.